This 253-nucleotide ribosomal RNA is filed under the name uncultured bacterium. RNAcentral describes it as "partial 16S ribosomal RNA". It matches the Rfam family "Bacterial small subunit ribosomal RNA", at positions 524 to 776 of the family's 1533-position model. The record is from RNAcentral.
UACGUAGGGUGCGAGCGUUGCCCGGAUUUAUUGGGCGUAAAGGGCGCGUAGGCGGCCACGCACGUCCGUUGUGAAAUCGCCCGGCUCAACUGGGCGGGGUCAGCGGAUACGGUGUGGCUCGAGCAAGCUAGGGGGCAAUGGAAUUCCCGGUGUAGUGGUGGAACGCGUAGAUAUCGGGAGGAACACCAGUGGCGAAGGCGGUUGCCUGGAGCUUUGCUGACGCUGAGGCGCGAAAGCGUGGGGAGCGAUCCGG